Transfer RNA from Oryctolagus cuniculus (rabbit), 83 nucleotides. It matches the Rfam family "tRNA". From Rfam's summary of the family: Transfer RNA (tRNA) molecules are approximately 80 nucleotides in length. Their secondary structure includes four short double-helical elements and three loops (D, anti-codon, and T loops). The record is from Rfam. NCBI's taxonomy places the organism in Eukaryota, Metazoa, Chordata, Mammalia, Lagomorpha, Leporidae.
GGCGCUGUGGCUCAGUGGGUUAAAGCCCUGGCCUGAAGUGCCGGUAUCCCAUAUGGGCACUGGUUCUAGUCCAGGCUGCUCUU